This 8493-nucleotide long non-coding RNA is filed under the name Lactuca sativa (garden lettuce). Its description in RNAcentral is "long non-coding RNA (LSAT_LNC002630)". The record is from RNAcentral. Lineage: Eukaryota; Viridiplantae; Streptophyta; Magnoliopsida; Asterales; Asteraceae.
ACGACCGGAUACUGGGGACUAUUUCACCCCUUACUGCUACCACAUAUCACAUAGCAUCAUAGCAUACUAGCACAUAAACAUAAACAUAACACAGGUAGUAACAACCCUAGAUGAAUAUCACAGAGACAAUCACCUAUCAGACAACUCCUACUGGUGGGCCGGCAUUGUGGUCGUAGACCCACCGCUACUGGAAGGNNNNNNNNNNNNNNNNNNNNNNNNNNNNNNNNNNNNNNNNNNNNNNNNNNNNNNNNNNNNNNNNNNNNNNNNNNNNNNNNNNNNNNNNNNNNNNNNNNNNNNNNNNNNNNNNNNNNNNNNNNNNNNNNNNNNNNNNNNNNNNNNNNNNNAAGUCAAAGUCAACUGCCAGUUGGCCCAACUCGCCGAGUUGACUUGCCAACUCGCCGAGUCCCUAUCCCUUUGUCCGACCAUAAACCCGUCUCUACUCGUCGAGUUAAGCAUUGACUCGACGAGUUCUCCUUCUAAACUAAAGGCCAAUAGUCCUUCAUCCUACUCGCCGAGUUGUAUGAACAACUCGCCGAGUUCAUCUUCAUCCGAAGAACACUCUAUGCUGAGACUCGCCGAGCUGUAUGAACAACUCGCCGAGUCUGUUCUUGAGGCAAGAAGAUUGCCUUGAACUCGCCGAGUCAUGGCAUUGACUCGCCGAGUUACUUCAUGAGUGAGUCUGGCUUCCGACCCACUGAGUCACACCCCCAUGACUCAUUGCUCCAACCCGCAAGGGGAAAACUCGGGGACUCGUGACUCGACUCGCCGAGUCAGAUGAACGACUCGCUGAGUAUACCACAUACAAAUACUAUACAUGCGAUUCUACUUGAAUCCAGCUCAUGCCAUUAAUAGAUCUGGGUUUCUAGGGCCUGAUUAACACGUAAAGUUUCCAACUUUACGUGUAAAUAAACACCCAAGAGGGUUUUAGGGCUCAAAAUGCACCAAAAGAGUAGAUCUAGGGCUUUCAUGCAAUAUGGCUCCAUAAAGGCAGUAGAUCCAAGCUCCUGGAGCUCAAUCAUGCCUAGAUCUAGAGGCUAAACAACUUAUUACGAACCCUAAAACACAAACAAGCUUGGGAAAAGGCUCAAGAAGGACUUUCAUGGAGCUACAAGGGACAUUAAGCAUGAAAACAGAGGGAAACUGAGUUAUACCUCAAGGAAAUCACUGAGAUAACACAAAUAUGCCUGGCCUCCUUCUUCUCUUCUUGAUCUACUCUCCUUCCCUCUCCAAAUCUUCAAGAAAACACACCAAAAUGCUUCAAUCUCACAAGGAACAAGGCUUGAACGAAGUAUAGAGCUCUGAGGGUGAAGGGGGCGAGCUUGGGGGCGGAUAAGAGGGUUUAAAUAGGGUGCAAACCCUUGAAAUUUAGGGUUUCAUCAGACAGCGGGGACUCGCCGAGUCCAGAAUAUGGACUCGCCGAGUCGCCAACUUAAACGUGUUCCGGAUCCCGUCUCUACUCGGCGAGUCGGACCUACAACUCGCCGAGUCCAAGGCUAAAAAUGAAAAACACUAAGAUAAAUUUUACGUACCAGGAACCAGGUGCUACAAAUCUCCCCCACUUAUUUUAGACUUCGUCCUCGAAGUCUGCUGCUCGAUCCUGAAACAGCUCGGGGUAAUGCUCCAUCAUUUCUUCCACCGGCUCCCAAGUCCAUUCCGAACCCUUUCGGUGCUGCCAUUGCACCUUUACUAAUUCCACCCUCUUGUUCCUCAGAUCCUUCGACUUCCGGUCGAGGAUUGCGACUGGGCGCUCAAUGUAAUUCAGGCUGUCAUCAACCUGUAUAUCCUCUAGCGGCACCACCGCUGAAUCAUCCACUAGGCACUUCCGCAGCUGGGAGACAUGGAAGGUGUUGUGGAUCUGACUGAGCUCGGCUGGCAGAUCCAGCCUAUAUGCCACCUUGCCCACCCGGGCUACAACCCUGAACGGACCAAUGUAUCUCGGGCCCAACUUGCCCCGCUUCCUGAAUCGAAUGACGCCUUUCCAAGGCGACACUUUCAGGAGAACCAUAUCCCCGACCUGGAACUCCAGGUCUGAUCGACGCUUGUCGGCGUAACUUUUCUGCCGACUCUGCGCAGUCUGAAGCCUGCUUCAAACCUGCUGGAUUUUCUCGGUCGUCUUGAGCACCACCUCGGUGCUCCCCAUGACCCUCUGGCCAACUUCACCCCAACAUAUCGGGGUCCUGCACCUCCGACCGUACAACAUCUCGAAUGGAGGACGGUCAAUACUCGCGUGGUAGCUGUUGUUGUACGAGAACUCAGCCAAGGGAAGAUAGGUAUCCCAGCUACCACCGAAGUCUAGCACGCAUGCCCGCAACAUAUCCUCCAAAGUCUGGAUGGUCCGCUCACUCUGACCAUCCGUCUGCGGGUGAAAGGCGGUGCUAAAAUGCAGACGAGUGCCCAACUCAUCAUGAAACUUCUUCCAAAACCUGGAAGUGAACCGCACAUCUCGGUCUGAUAUCACUGACACUGGCACCCCGUGCCGCGCCACUAUCUCCCUGAUAUAGAUAUCGGCCAACUUUUCGGCCGAGAUACUCUCCUGAAUCGGAAUAAAAUGGGCGCUCUUGGUCAACCGAUCCACGAUGACCCAAAUCGAAUCUACUCCUCGCGCCGUCCGGGGAAGCUUUGUGAUAAAAUCCAUCGUAAUAUCCUCCCAUUUCCACAACGGGAUAUCCAACGGCUGCAUCUUGCCGUGCGGUCUCUGAUGCUCGGCCUUGACCUUCCUGCAGGUCAAACACCGCUCGACGUACCACGCCACAUCCCGCUUCAUGCAGGGCCACCAAUAGUCUAGACGAAGAUCCCUAUACAUCUUCGUCGCCCCUGGAUGAAUAGAGAAUCGGGAUUUGUGCGCCUCCUCCAUCAAGAUCUGGCGCACGCCUCCAUGAUACGGCACCCACACCCUACGGUGUAGUGUCAAUAAUCCUCGGCUAUCAUAAUCGAAGGAGGUGACUUGACCCACUAUUCGCUCACUCUUCUGAUGUUCCUCCUUCAUAGCCUCCUGCUGAGCUUCCCGAAUCUGCUCUAACAGUGGAGUCACCACAGUCAUCCUCAUGCAAAUAUCCCUGAUCGGCGCCGCCUUGCGGCUAAGCGCAUCGGCCACCACAUUGGCCUUCCCUGGGUGAUAAAGGAUCUCGCAAUCAUAAUCCUUCACCACGUCCAGCCACCAGCGCUGCCACAUGUUCAGAUUCGGCUGAUCCAUGAGGCACCUCAAACUCUUGUGGUCCGUGAAAAUGGUACAUCGAACCCCGUAGAGGUAAUGCCGCCAUAUCUUGAGGGCGAAGAAUACCGCCCCCAACUCUAAAUCAUGUGUCGGGUAGUUCGCCUCGUGAGGCUUCAGCUGCCUUGAGGCAUAAGCAAUGACAUGCCCCCUCUGCAUCAAUACUGCGCCUAAGCCCGAGAUAGACGCAUCACAGUAUACCACAAAAUCCUCUACGCCCUCGGGCAGGGCUAAGAUUGGCGCCUCGCACAAUCUCUGCCUCAGAAUCUCGAACGCUGCCUGCUGCUCAGGCCCCCAUCGAAAGACCACGGCUUUCCUAGUCAACCGUGUCAGGGGUACGACUAUCUUGGAGAAAUCCUGAAUGAAUCUCCGAUAGUAGCCUGCUAAUCCUAGGAAACUCCGAAUCUCGGAUGGAGACUUCGGAACCUCCCAUCUCAUCACGGCCUCCACCUUGGCCGGGUCUACUGAAAUCCCGUUCUGGUUGACGAGGUGCCCAAGAAACUGCACCUCGCGCAACCAAAACUCACAUUUGGAGAACUUGGCGUACAAGCUCUCCCUCCUCAAGGUCUCCAAAACCUCUCUCAGAUGCUCCUCAUGCUCCUCCUGCGUCUUGGAAUAAACCAAGAUGUCAUCAAUGAAAACUAUCACAGACCGAUCCAACAUCGGUCUACACACGCGGUUCAUGAGGUCCAUGAACGCGGCAGGAGCAUUGGUGAGCCCAAACGGCAUCACCACGAACUCAUAAUGGCCAUAACGCGUCCGAAACGCGGUCUUCUGUACAUCCUCCUCUCUGACCCUCAUCUGAUGAUAACCUGAACGCAAAUCGAUCUUGGAGAACCAAGAUGCUCCCUGUAACUGAUCAAAGAGGUCAUCAAUCCUCGGGAGUGGGUAACGGUUCUUCACCGUUACCUUAUUCAGCUCCCGGUAAUCUAUACACAUCCGAUGCGACCCGUCCUUCUUCUUCACAAACAGGAUCGGGGCUCCCCAGGGUGAACUGCUCGGUCGAAUAAAUCCCUUGUCUAGCAGCUCCUGCAGCUGCGUAGACAACUCCUGCAUCUCGGGAGGAGCCAACCGAUAGGGUGCCUUGGCUAUCGGAGCCGCACCAGGAACUAGGUCGAUCCUGAACUCUACCUGACGCUCCGGAGGUAUUCCAGGAAGCUCCUCCGAGAAAACAUCAGUGUAGUCUCGCAUCACUGGAACCUCGCUCACCGUCGCUUUACCCGUCUCCCGGGUAUCCAGAACAUACGCGACAUAUCCCGUGCAACCUUGCUGAAGGUAACGCCUAGCUCUCGCUGCUGAACAUACUGCAGGUCCACGCUGCGGCCUCUCACCAUGGAUCACCAACUCUCCCCCACUCGGGGUCUUGAUCCGCACUAGCUGCUGUGCGCAAUCUAUUACCGCCCCAUUAGGGCUCAACCAAUCCAUGCCUAUAAUCACCUUGUUCCCCCGCAACAGAAUGGGAACCAAGUCCACCAAAUAGCGCUCCUCAAAUAACCUCAGAACACAAUCCCUGAACACUGUUGAUGCUCGUACCGAUCGAUCAUCGGCAAUCUCUACCUCUAAAAGGCAAUCCAACAUACCCGAGGACUCAGUAAAUCUCUUGCUAAGCGCAAGGGAAACAAAUGACCGAGUGGCACCCGAGUCAAACAACACCUGAACUGGGAUACCGUUCAUAUAACGAUCCUAACGCAUAAACACAGGGCACAUAUCAAUAACGCAACAUCAUAAAAAUAAAAUAGAGGGAAAGAAUCAUACCCUUCACCACAUCAGGUGCAGCGCAUGCCUCCUCUGCAGUCAGCUGAAACGCCCAGCUCCUCACCACUGGAGCCUCUGCCUUGCCCUGCCGACCAUCUGUAAUCCGCAGGGUAGCUGGAGCUGGCGCCUUAACCGGCGCUGAUGCUAUCAACUAGGGGCAAUUAGCCUUCUUGUGGCCCCUCUGGUUGCAAUGGAAACACAGAAACUCAGACGUCUGCAUCACAGGUGCAGGGGCGGUAUAAUCCCGGCUGAAGUGCCCUGGCUUUCCGCACUUGUAGCAGCCUGACGAUCCUAUCUUGCACACUCCCUCAUGCGNCAGGGUAGCUGGAGCUGGCGCCUUAACCGGCGCUGAUGCUAUCAACUAGGGGCAAUUAGCCUUCUUGUGGCCCCUCUGGUUGCAAUGGAAACACAGAAACUCAGACGUCUGCAUCACAGGUGCAGGGGCGGUAUAAUCCCGGCUGAAGUGCCCUGGCUUUCCGCACUUGUAGCAGCCUGACGAUCCUAUCUUGCACACUCCCUCAUGCGCCCUGCCGCAUUUCCUAUAGCGGUCCCGCCCCUGUUGGCCUUUCGGCCCCGCACCCAAUCCCUUGGGUUUCUUUCCCGAAGCCCCCGUAACAUGCCUCUCUUCCGCCUUCCUCUUCCGGAUGUGCUCCGGAUCUAUCUCCCUCUCCCUAGCCCUGGCAAUAAUAGAGUCCAGGGUAGGGCAAGCUGAAAAACUAACAUGCUCUCGAAUAUCAGCUCGUAGCAUGUCAUGAUAGCGGGUCCUCCUCAUAUCCUCAUCACCCGCGUACUGGGGCACCAGCAACGCCCUCUCCGGAACUUGGCNNNNNNNNNNNNNNNNNNNNNNNNNNNNNNNNNNNNNNNNNNNNNNNNNNNNNNNNNNNNNNNNNNNNNNNNGACAGCCAGCGCGAACUCUGCCCUGAACCUGGUCGCGAAGUCCGACCAAGUCAUAGCCUCAACAGCUGUGGCUCCCAACGAGUCACCCACGGACUCCCACCAAUCUCUAGCUCGAUCUCGUAAACACUCCGCUGCGAACCUCACCUUCGACCCCUCAGGGCAGAAGCUGAUCAUCUGUGCAGACUCAAUAUCUACAAUCCAUCGUCUGUCAGCUAUGGGGUCCUUCGCCCCGUGAAAAUCCGGCGCACCACUGCCCCGGAAGUCCUUGAAGGACAGUGUGCGGGAUCCCGACUGGCCAGAUGCCAUGUCGCUCCUGAAUGCCCGAAGGCGAUCCUCCAUCAACUCUAAUAUCCCUUCCUUGAUCGACCCGAAGAUAUUGGGGGUCGACUCAAGGAUGCCUCUGGUGAUCUCUGACGCGAUGAACUCGCGUAGCCUCUCAUCUACUGGCUCGGAACCUGAUCCUGAUCCCGAUCCCUCUCCUGUACUACCAACUGCUGGCCUCAAGCGUAGUAUCACCAUUCUGAAAAACAUAAAUAAUAACCGUUAGCGAUACUGAUACCUCUGGAGGAAUCACACCUACUACAAGUUUCCUGGUCUUAUCUUGGCCUUCCUCGGUUCGGGUACGGAUCCUCUGCUUUCAGUAGUACGGGCCCAUACUACCUUCCAAAUCUAUUCGUACCUUCUCCAAGGACUGCCUUGACUCCACCAGGUCCCUAUCACUACCACUGAUCACCGCUAUACUUAUCCUAGGCUUGCCCCAGGAAAAUCUCUAACUCCACUCGACCCGGUCCUCAACUGCUGAAGGCCUCCUUGUAAUGCCAGUUAGCCACUACCUGAACACCAUCACAUGUGAUGAGGCACAGAUAAUCCUUCGAGUAACAAAUUCGUCCUUAUAACGGUUAGACUCAAACGAGAGCUGUGCAAUAAGGCCAAAUCCAACACUCUAAGAUUAUUCAACCCUGAUCAUAUGUGAGUGACGUAUUCACCUAAUGGCUAACUCCCAUCACCCUGAAUCCCACAAAGCACAAAGCAAGUAGCAUUCAGACAAAAGGGAACAACACGCAAAUCCGUUCUCAUAGAGAGAAACUGAACUAGCAUACGGUGCUAAACUCAUACUAUCAGGCAUAACCUAACAGGCUAUCCUACUGUUGUCCACUCAANUAGCAUGCAACUUUUCAUACACUGAAGCACAUAAAGCAGACAUAUAAGGCAUCACUCCUAGAUCCUUAGUCCUAUUCUAGCAUGUUAUUCUACUGAAACUGAUAAUCAUAACAUAAGCUUGUAUGGAUAAUUUUGGGGAAUACUUACUUAAGCUCGGCCGGUCGCGCACAUCACACACUUUGUUCUUUAUUAAAACCCUUUACUUAGCCUUUUAGAAAACAUUUUCUUUUUCUAAAAUCUCUUAAUCCCUCGAUUUGAGUUCAAACACCCCCGAAGGUGUGUCUGAAUCCCUCAAACCAGGGCUCUGAUACCAACUUGUAACAUCCCAAAAUACGAGCCAAAAAUUUCAUUUUUAAAACAUGUAAUUAGCAAAAAAUUAAGAAUAAAACGAUCAACAUUCAUAUCAUUUCACAAGAUAUUGUCUGUCUGGAAAACAUUUUUGUAAAACAUAAAAGUGUCAGAGUACAAAUCCCCAGGAAGAUCUCAUAAUGCGGAACGCAAGCAGGUGUGUGAUGUACCGCUACCGCGCCGGCUCCUUCCCCUUCGAAGAAGAGGUACCUAAAACCAAAACUGAAAACUGUAAGCACGAAGCUUAGUGAAAUCCCCCACUGUACCACAUACUAUAUAAUCACCUAACAUACAUAUACUGUCGGGCAUAUCUGGGUGCCCGACCUACCCCUUCGGUCCUUACGACCGAAUACUGUCAGGCAUAUCUGGGUGCCCAACCAACCCCUUCGGUACUUACGACCGGAUACUGCCGGGUAUAUCUGGGUGCCUGACCUACCCCUUCGGUCCUUACGACCGGAUACUGGGGACUAUUUCACCCCUACUGCUACCACAUAUCACAUAGCAUCAUAGCAUACUAGCACAUAAACAUAAACAUAACACAGGUAGUAACAACCCUAGAUGAAUAUCACAGAGACAAUCACCUAUCAGACAACUCCUACUGGUGGGCCGGCAUUGUGGUCGUAGACCCACCGCUACUGGAAGGUAACUCACCUCAAAGUAGCUGCUGAUCUGCGUGGGAACUGACUGUCUGCUGCUGCUGCCGCUCCGGAAAUCCUCCGGCUAUAAUUCCCACAAAACCCUUAGUCAAAUACUGCUAACCGACCUUAGGGUAAAAUGACCAUUUACCCCUUACCAAUCAAGAGUCAAAUCAAAGUCAACUGCCAGUUGGCCCGACUCGCCGAGUUGACUUGUCAACUCGCCGAUUUCCUAUCCCUUUGUCCGACCAUAAACCCGUCUCUACUCAUCGACUUAAGCAUUGACUUGACGAGUUCUCCUUCUAAACUAAAGGCCAAUAGUUCUUCAUCCUACUCGCCGAGUUGUAUGAACAACUCGCCGAGUUCUUCUUCAUCCGAAGAACACUCUAUGCUGAGACUCGCCGAGCUGUAUGAACAACUCGCCGAGUCUGUUCUUGAGGUAAGAAGAUUGCCUUGAACUCGCCGAGUCAUGGCAUUGACUCGCCG